UACAGAGGGUGCGAGCGUUAAUCGGAAUUACUGGGCGUAAAGCGUGCGUAGGUGGUUGAUUAAGUUAUCUGUGAAAUCCCUGGGCUCAACCUGGGCAGGUCAGAUAAUACUGGUUAACUCGAGUAUGGGAGAGGGUAGUGGAAUUUCCGGUGUAGCGGUGAAAUGCGUAGAGAUCGGAAGGAACACCAGUGGCGAAGGCGGCUACCUGGCCUAAUACUGACACUGAGGCACGAAAGCGUGGGGAGCAAACAGG
RNAcentral lists this ribosomal RNA (253 nucleotides) under uncultured bacterium. Its description in RNAcentral is "partial 16S ribosomal RNA". It matches the Rfam family "Bacterial small subunit ribosomal RNA", at positions 524 to 776 of the family's 1533-position model. The record is from RNAcentral.